Molecule: long non-coding RNA, 635 nt
Filed under: Elaeis guineensis (African oil palm)
Lineage: Eukaryota; Viridiplantae; Streptophyta; Magnoliopsida; Arecales; Arecaceae
Description: long non-coding RNA (EGUI_LNC034520)
Source: RNAcentral
AAGACUUUAGCAUCCUUCAUCCUUUCAGGCUUCAGCAGUCUCUCAUUGCGCAGAGAGCUGGAAGGGAAAGAAAGAUGGAGCCACCUUCUUCCCAAGUUAUGUCAAGCACAGAUGACACCCAGGAUAGGAUCAUCAAUGAAUGGCAAGUGUUUUGAUGCUCUCAUCUCCUUAAUCUUCUCUUAAUUUUUCUCUUCCAUUUCUUUUUUUUUUUUUCGUUAUUCAGGUUCUUAGGUUUGUAGCUAUUAUGAUCUCUCUUUUUGCAGUUGUUCUUGCUGUUAUGACUGCACUGAUAGUUGCCUUGAUUACAUAUGCUGCUCCUUCCUCUGUUAGCCUUGCCAGCAUCUCACAUACUUCACAAGCAAUAGAUCAGUGGAUCCAGCAGAAACAAGGAAAAAGAGGGUGCCGGGAAGGAGGAAAAUUAAGUCAUGAUGUUAGCUAUUUCUUGCUCUCAAAACAAUUUAGUUGCUUGUGUUAUUCGAUCAUCUUUACAUAUUAAAUGAAUGGACAUUAUAUUGCCCCGGCUGUCUCCUGGAAUUGGCAGUGAACAAGAGUCUUCUAUUUGAUAAAUGCAACCAUGUGGCAUACCUUUGCUUUUUAAGAGAAUGGGUAAAUAGUAGAUCAAUUUUUUCUGAAGC